RNAcentral lists this ribosomal RNA (497 nucleotides) under uncultured bacterium. RNAcentral's name for it is "partial 16S ribosomal RNA". It matches the Rfam family "Bacterial small subunit ribosomal RNA", at positions 28 to 507 of the family's 1533-position model. The record is from RNAcentral.
GAUGAACGCUGGCGGCGUGCCUAAUACAUGCAAGUCGAGCGAACAGACGAGGAGCUUGCUCCUCUGACGUUAGCGGCGGACGGGUGAGUAACACGUGGAUAACCUACCUAUAAGACUGGGAUAACUUCGGGAAACCGGAGCUAAUACCGGAUAAUAUAUUGAACCGCAUGGUUCAAUAGUGAAAGACGGUUUUGCUGUCACCUAUAGAUGGAUCCGCGCCGCAUUAGCUAGUUGGUAAGGUAACGGCUUACCAAGGCAACGAUGCGUAGCCGACCUGAGAGGGUGAUCGGCCACACUGGAACUGAGACACGGUCCAGACUCCUACGGGAGGCAGCAGUAGGGAAUCUUCCGCAAUGGGCGAAAGCCUGGCGGAGCAACGCCGCGUGAGUGAUGAAGGUCUUCGGAUCGUAAAACUCUGUUAUUAGGGAAGAACAAAUGUGUAAGUAACUAUGCACGUCUUGACGGUACCUAAUCAGAAAGCCACGGCUAACUACGUG